GAUGUGGUUCAAGAGAUAGAGGUCAAAAUAGACGUAAUUACUUUAUAAGUAGGUAUCGUUUGGUUCGGAUAUAAACAAGAACUAGCUAUUACAGGGAUAGGUACACGUAUGGAGAUAAGAAAAAUAGUGUUUGGAUGAAAAUUGGGUUGUUUUCGGGGAUAAGAACAAAUUUAGAUAGUUUUAUAUAAAAAAUGAAGGUGUUGGUGGGAAUAACCGAGAACUUCUAUUUUCGGAUAAAAAAUUAGCGUUUAGGUAUAAUGAAAGGGAUAAGGGCCUAUUCCUAUUUUUAUCCCCUAACCAAACGCUGCUUUAGGAUUUAGGAUUUACUCAAGUUCUUCUCGAUCCUACUUUCUGAAUUUAAUUUACUUGUUAGUCGAUAUUUAGGUGUAUUGCUCUACUUGGACUGUCAUUCGUAUUUUUCUGUUCUAUUUUGUUUUGAAGAUACGUUUGUUUUUUUUUUUUAAAAAAAUUACUAAUUUUAUUAUUCAGAU
This 491-nucleotide long non-coding RNA is filed under the name Ananas comosus (pineapple). RNAcentral describes it as "long non-coding RNA (ACOM_LNC004462)". Lineage: Eukaryota; Viridiplantae; Streptophyta; Magnoliopsida; Poales; Bromeliaceae. The record is from RNAcentral.